UGGCCGUUCUUAGUUGGU
Molecule: non-coding RNA, 18 nt
Filed under: Arabidopsis thaliana (thale cress)
Lineage: Eukaryota; Viridiplantae; Streptophyta; Magnoliopsida; Brassicales; Brassicaceae
Source: RNAcentral